Molecule: non-coding RNA, 947 nt
Organism: Phoenix dactylifera (date palm)
Lineage: Eukaryota; Viridiplantae; Streptophyta; Magnoliopsida; Arecales; Arecaceae
Source: RefSeq, a predicted model, not a curated record
GAUGAGUUUAUUGUAAAUGAUUCCUUUCUUUGAUAUGUUUAUCAGAUCUAAUUCACCGUUCCGGGCUUCACAUUGUCAAUCUAACAAAGUACUGCUGUUGAAUUUUGAAGUAAACUUAGAGAAUUUCACAUUAUUAUGGCCCUUUUUGUCACGACUUUGAUCCUGUGGGCAUAAUUGUAUUCUUUGUUAACAAGGACAGAUUUUCGCAGACUCUUGUGCUACUAAUUUUGUGGUUCUUGGGAGGAUCUGACACCAUUUUAGCUUAUGAGUUUCAAUGUAGCUGGGAGAUUGACUACGAUCAAAGCUCAAAGACUGUUAAAAUAUUUUUGAAAGACUGCAGCCUUGGCAGUGUUGGUGCCUUAGGCAGGGUUAUUCAAUCGCGGUAUAGGUUCCUGCCUUGAAAUUCAGCAUCAUGAUUAUGUCUGGAGAAUGAGAUCAAUUUAUGAACUAGUAUUAUUGUUGCCACAUUGGCUUUUCUUUGACUGACUUCAUCUUAUUUGAUACGUUAUAUUUCAUUUGUUAGAUUAUAAUAAUAUUUUUAUGUUUCCUUUUAUAUUUCUUAGGCUUUUGCAUUUAUUGUUAUGGGGUUGUCUUGACAUCUAGGCACCUGUUGGGCCUAGAAGGCCCCUUGGUCACCUAUCUAUUUUGCCUAUAGUCUUCUAGAAAAGUUUAAUCUUGGAGGAACUCUAUCCAAAAUAUCCUUUCUGAUGCCCAUCAUACUUCAAUCUUACAGAGCGAGAGUUCUUUUCAAUUGUAUAUAUUGGUUUUAUGCACAAAGGAGGUUGUGCAUUCAAUGUGAUACUCUAUAGAUGUACUAUAUGUAUGAUUUUAAGACUUAUCUGAGGCAACUUGUCAAGACCUGAGCCUAUGCCUCAGUUGGCCAGUACCACCACAACCACUCAAAGACAAGAAGAUAGAUGUUCAGAUGAAGCCAUCUAAUCGUUAAC